Homo sapiens (human) is the source of this 1576-nucleotide long non-coding RNA. Lineage: Eukaryota; Metazoa; Chordata; Mammalia; Primates; Hominidae. The record is from Ensembl.
GCCUCUCCCGGUACCUGCUGCUGCUCCCGGGGCUUCGGGAAAUGCGAGAGUCUGAGCCGGGGAGGAGGAACCCGAGCAGCGGCGGCGGCGGCCGCGGCGGCGGGAGCCCCCCAAGAGGAGGACCGGGAUCCAUGUGUCUUUCCUGGUGACUAGGAUGUCGUCGGAGGAGAACAAGUGCGUGGAGCAGCCGCAGCCACCACCCCCCGAGGAGCCUGGAGCCCCGGCCCCGAGCCCCCCAGCCGCAGACAAAAGACCUCGGGGCCGGCCUCGCAAGGCGCUUCCCCUUUCCAGAGAGCCAGAAAGAAACUCAGCCCACCUGCACCCAGGUGAAAUAAACAGCUUUAUUGCUCACACGAAGCCUGUUUGGUGGUCUCUUCACACGGAUGCGCAUGAAAUUUGGUGCCGUGACUUGGAUCGGGGGACCUCCCUUAGGAGAUCAAUCCCCCGUCCUCCUGCUCUUUGCUCCGUGAGAAAGAUCCACCUACGACCUCAGGUCCUCAGACCGACCAGCCCAAGAAACAUCUCACCAAUUUCAAAUCUGAUCUAUUCGGCUUAGCGACUGAAGAUUGACGCUGCCCGAUCGCCUCGGAAGUCCCCUGGACCAUCACAGAAGCCGAGCUUCGGGUAACUCUCACAGUGGAGGGUAAGUCCAUCCCCUGUUUAAUCGAUACGGGGGCUACCCACUCCACGUUGCCUUCUUUUCAAGGGCCUGUUUCCCUUGCCCCCAUAACUGUUGUGGGUAUUGACGGCCAAGCUUCAAAACCCCUGAAAACUCCCCCACUCUGGUGCCAACUUGGACAACACUCUUUUAUGCACUCUUUUUUAGUUAUCCCCACCUGCCCACUUCCCUUAUUAGGCCGAAAUAUUUUAACCAAAUUAUCUGCUUCCCUGACUAUUCCUGGAGUACAGCUACAUCUCAUUGCUGCCCUUCUUCCCAAUCCAAAGCCUCCUUUGUGUCCUCUAACAUCCCCACAAUAUCACCCCUUACCACAAGACCUCCCUUCAGCUUAAUCUCUCCCACUCUAGGUUCCCACGCCGCCCCUAAUCCCACUUGAAGCAGCCCUGAGAAACAUCGCCCAUUCUCUCUCCAUACCACCCCCCAAAAAUUUUCGCCGCUCCAACACUUCAACACUAUUUUGUUUUAUUUGUCUUAUUAAUAUCAGAAGGCAGGAAUGUCAGGCCUCUGAGCCCAGGCCAGGCCAUCGCAUCCCCUGUGACUUGCACGUAUACAUCCAGAUGGCCUGAAGUAACUGAAGAUCCACAAAAGAAGUAAAAACAGCCUUAACUGAUGACAUUCCACCAUUGUGAUUUGUUCCUGCCCCACCCUAACUGAUCAAUGUACUUUGUAAUCUCCCCCACCCUUAAGAAGGUUCUUUGUAAUUCUCCCCACCCUUGAGAAUGUACUUUGUGAGAUCCACCCCUGCCCACCAGAGAACAACCCCCUUUGAUUGUAAUUUUUUAUUACCUUCCCAAAUCCUAUAAAACAGCCCCACCCCUAUCUUCCUUCACUGACUCUCUUUUCGGACUCAGCCCACCGGCACCCAGGUGAAAUAAACAGCUUUAUUGCUCACACAAA